RNAcentral lists this non-coding RNA (24 nucleotides) under Arabidopsis thaliana (thale cress). Lineage: Eukaryota; Viridiplantae; Streptophyta; Magnoliopsida; Brassicales; Brassicaceae. The record is from RNAcentral.
GACAAACCUCUUCGCCGACGAAUU